RNAcentral lists this small RNA (1019 nucleotides) under Melampsora idesiae. Its description in RNAcentral is "eukaryotic LSU rRNA". It matches the Rfam family "Eukaryotic large subunit ribosomal RNA", at positions 70 to 1067 of the family's 3401-position model. The record is from RNAcentral. Lineage: Eukaryota; Fungi; Basidiomycota; Pucciniomycetes; Pucciniales; Melampsoraceae.
UAUGAUUCCCCUAGUAACGGCGAGUGAACAGGGAGAAGCCCAAAUUUGUAAUCUGGCACUUUUUACAAGUGUCCGAGUUGUAAUUUGUAGAGCUGUUAUCCGUACUGGACCAUGUACAAGUCUGUUGAAAAGCAGCAUCAUUGAAGGUGAAAAUCCUGUAGAUGAUAUGGACUACCAGUAUAUUUGUGAUACGGCUUCUAAGAGUCGAGUUGUUUGGGAAUGCAGCUCAAAGUGGGUGGUAAAUUCCAUCUAAGGCUAAAUAUAAGUGAGAGACCGAUAGCAUACAAGUACCGUGAGGGAAAGAUGAAAAGAACUUUGAAAAUAGAGUUAACAGUACGUGAAAUUGCUGAAAGGGAAACGUUUGAAGUUAGUUUUGUAUUCGUUGGAUCAGCUUCGCAAGGAGUGUAUUCUGAUGAUAAGCAAGUCAACAUCAGUCUAUGAGUGUUGGAUAAGGGUUUUGAGAAUGUAGCAAUUUAAUUGUGUUAUAGCUUGAGACUUGGAUUACGAAUCCGCUCUUGGACUGAGGAACGCGUAGUAAGCUUUGAGCGGAUUCGAAAGGAUCUCCUUACUAUGGAUGUUGGUGAAAUAACUUUAAGCGACCCGUCUUGAAACACGGACCAAGGAGUCUAACAUGCUUGCGAGUAUUAGGGUGUUGAAACCCGAAUGCGUAAUGAAAGUGAAUCUAAGAUGUGAUCCGCAAGGUGCAACAUCGGCCGGUCUGGAUCAUUUAUGUGAAGGUACUGAGCAAGAGCAAGUAUGUUAGGACCCGAAAGAUGGUGAACUAUGCCUGGAUAGGGUGAAGUCAGAGGAAACUCUGAUGGAAGCUCGUAGCGGUUCUGACGUGCAAAUCGAUCGUAGAAUCUGGGUAUAGGGGCGAAAGACUAAUCGAACCAUCUAGUAGCUGGUUCCUGCCGAAGUUUCCCUCAGGAUAGCAAAGACUUUUAAAUUAGUUUUAUGAGGUAAAGCGAAUGAUUAGAGGGCUUGGGAAUGUAAUGUUCUUAACCUAUUCUCAAACUUUA